UUUACCACUAUGGCCCAAAUAACCAUGUUUCCCAAAUAAAAAUGAUAUCAUUAGAUUGCCAAUUUGAGCCUUGUUUGUUGAGCCUUUUAUUUCUUAUCACCAGAUAUGUCUACCCUUAUACCUGAAACAUUUUUCCUUACCCUUUCCAAGCGAGCAAUGCGAGAUUGUCUUAUGAGAAACGUUUGUGAAGUACUGUGAAGAUGUUUGGCAAAAGAAUAAGUGUGGGGGUAUUUCAUGUUUGUGAUUAAUAAAAAAAAAAAAAAAAAAAAAAAAAAAAAAGAAAGAAAGAAAGAUUGUAUAAAAAGAAAAUAAAAAGUUUUUAAAGUUCAGUUUAAGAGUAUGGUUGGAGGUGCUAGAAGAAUUGCUGGAGAGCUUGAGUUCUUAUAAAUCUAAAGAAAAGAAUUGCUUGCAAUGUAGCUUGGAACUUGUGUUUUCCUAUUCUUUCGUUUCAAUAACCCUAUCCCUAAGCCUCAUUACAUCCAAUAAAAGUCCUCUUAAUUUAAGUUUUGCAAUUAUGACUGUGGAGAAGUGAUCUUUAUGCAAGCUUAUGGUAGAAAUUUCACAUUUGAUUCUUUGAGCGAAACACACUUAAAACUAAACACAUAUGUGAUUGAGUGUAUAUCCCGUGAGAAGGUCACUAGUUUGCAUAUGAUGAUUUUAAAAAUAAAAACUUGAAAUUGCAUUAGCAUGGC
RNAcentral lists this long non-coding RNA (692 nucleotides) under Malus domestica (apple). Its description in RNAcentral is "long non-coding RNA (MDOM_LNC006105)". The record is from RNAcentral. Lineage: Eukaryota; Viridiplantae; Streptophyta; Magnoliopsida; Rosales; Rosaceae.